Cinara cedri is the source of this 305-nucleotide non-coding RNA. The record is from the annotation of a GenBank genome assembly. Lineage: Eukaryota; Metazoa; Arthropoda; Insecta; Hemiptera; Aphididae.
GCUUCUGUAUUAUACGAAUUUAAAUUAUCAAAAUUAACCGCAGCAGUACAGUUUAUGAUUUCGUUAUAUACGUAUACGUAUUAUCCAUCGUAAACACUAUUUGGAUACGUGUUAUUAUUAUAGGUAUUUCACACGAUUUCAAAGCUCCACGGGACUGAACGGCCGGUCUCAAUGUUUCAAAGCAGUGUUUCCCAUCCUGUGGUCCGCGAGAACAUUGGACGCACUUAUGGUAUGAACGUGAAGCGAUAGUGGACUUUAUUACGGCGUUUGUUGUUUACAUUUAUCGUGCAUAAUGUCGGUUUGUC